RNAcentral lists this ribosomal RNA (108 nucleotides) under Triticum aestivum (bread wheat). RNAcentral describes it as "partial small subunit ribosomal RNA". The record is from RNAcentral. Lineage: Eukaryota; Viridiplantae; Streptophyta; Magnoliopsida; Poales; Poaceae.
AUGGAGUUUUGCAAACCCACAACCCCUUGGGGUUAUCCUGCGCUUGGAAGAAGAACUAGGAAAAGGAAAAAAUAUAGCGAUAGUUUUAUUCUUCGUCGCCGUAAGUAA